This 77-nucleotide transfer RNA is filed under the name Methanobacteriota archaeon. RNAcentral describes it as "Euryarchaeota archaeon tRNA-Arg". The stretch from base 14 to 69 matches the Rfam family "tRNA", at positions 9 to 63 of the family's 71-position model. From Rfam's summary of the family: Transfer RNA (tRNA) molecules are approximately 80 nucleotides in length. Their secondary structure includes four short double-helical elements and three loops (D, anti-codon, and T loops). Lineage: Archaea; Methanobacteriati; Methanobacteriota. The record is from RNAcentral.
GCCUUCUUGGGAAAGGGCAAGGGACAUCCUAGAAGCCUGCGGAGCUUCAGACCUGGGUUCGAAUCCCAGCUCGGGCG